Molecule: ribosomal RNA, 692 nt
Filed under: Salmonella enterica subsp. enterica serovar Chester
Lineage: Bacteria; Pseudomonadati; Pseudomonadota; Gammaproteobacteria; Enterobacterales; Enterobacteriaceae
Description: partial 23S ribosomal RNA
Rfam family: Bacterial large subunit ribosomal RNA
Source: RNAcentral
GGGAAACGAUGUGGGAAGGCCCAGACAGCCAGGAUGUUGGCUUAGAAGCAGCCAUCAUUUAAAGAAAGCGUAAUAGCUCACUGGUCGAGUCGGCCUGCGCGGAAGAUGUAACGGGGCUAAACCAUGCACCGAAGCUGCGGCAGCGACACUCAGGUGUUGUUGGGUAGGGGAGCGUUCUGUAAGCCUGUGAAGGUGGCCUGUGAGGGUUGCUGGAGGUAUCAGAAGUGCGAAUGCUGACAUAAGUAACGAUAAAGCGGGUGAAAAGCCCGCUCGCCGGAAGACCAAGGGUUCCUGUCCAACGUUAAUCGGGGCAGGGUGAGUCGACCCCUAAGGCGAGGCCGAAAGGCGUAGUCGAUGGGAAACGGGUUAAUAUUCCCGUACUUGGUGUUACUGCGAAGGGGGGACGGAGAAGGCUAUGUUGGCCGGGCGACGGUUGUCCCGGUUUAAGCGUGUAGGUGUGUGUUCCAGGUAAAUCCGGUUCACUUUAACACUGAGGCGUGAUGACGAGGCACUACGGUGCUGAAGCAACAAAUGCCCUGCUUCCAGGAAAAGCCUCUAAGCAUCAGGUAACAUCAAAUCGUACCCCAAACCGACACAGGUGGUCAGGUAGAGAAUACCAAGGCGCUUGAGAGAACUCGGGUGAAGGAACUAGGCAAAAUGGUGCCGUAACUUCGGGAGAAGGCACGCUGACA